UCAUGCUCGGAUUAGGUUAGGGGGAUUGUUGUCUGGCUCGGGGUCUCCGGUCGAGAAUCCUUGGCCUUGCCGGAGUUGUCGUUGACCGGAGAUUUCGGACCAGGCUUCAAUCCCUUUAACCAUGCGGCAUUUAG
RNAcentral lists this microRNA precursor (134 nucleotides) under Sorghum bicolor (sorghum). Its description in RNAcentral is "miR166g stem-loop (sbi-MIR166g)". Its record names the gene sbi-MIR166g. The stretch from base 16 to 120 matches the Rfam family "mir-166 microRNA precursor family". From Rfam's summary of the family: This family represents the plant microRNA (miRNA) precursor mir-166. Animal miRNAs are transcribed as ~70nt precursors and subsequently processed by the Dicer enzyme to give a ~22nt product. In plants the precursor sequences may be longer, and the carpel factory (caf) enzyme appears to be involved in processing. The record is from miRBase by way of RNAcentral. Lineage: Eukaryota; Viridiplantae; Streptophyta; Magnoliopsida; Poales; Poaceae.